AGAGUUUGAUCAUGGCUCAGAACGAACGCUGGCGGCGUGCUUAACACAUGCAAGUCGAACGCGAAAGUUUUCUUCGGAAAGCGAGUAGAGUGGCGCACGGGUGAGUAACGCGUAAGUAAUCUGCCCUGGUAUCUGGGAUAACCCACCGAAAGGUGUGCUAAUACCGGAUACGCUGGUAACAGGAAAGGUGGCCUCUUCAUGAAAGCUACUGUACCAGGAGGAGCUUGCGUACCAUUAGCUAGUUGGUAGGGUAAUGGCCUACCAAGGCGACGAUGGUUAGCGGGUCUGAGAGGAUGAUCCGCCACACUGGAACUGAAACACGGACCAGACUCCUACGGGAGGCAGCAGUGAGGAAUAUUGCGCAAUGGGGGAAACCCUGACGCAGCGACGCCGCGUGGAUGAUGAAGGCCUUCGGGUCGUAAAAUCCUGUCAGAUGGAAAGAAGUGUAUCCUGCCUAAUACGUGGGAUAUUUGACGGUACCAUCAAAGGAAGCACCGGCUAACUCCGUGCCAGCAGCCGCGGUAAUACGGAGGGUGCGAGCGUUGUUCGGAAUUACUGGGCGUAAAGGGCGCGUAGGCGGCUGUUUAAGUCAGAUGUGAAAGUCCACGGCUCAACCGUGGAAGUGCAUUUGAAACUGGAUGGCUUGAGUACUGGAGGGGGUGGUGGAAUUCCCGGUGUAGAGGUGAAAUUCGUAGAUAUCGGGAGGAAUACCGGUGGCGAAGGCGACCACCUGGCCAGAUACUGACGCUGAGGUGCGAAAGCGUGGGGAGCAAACAGGAUUAGAUACCCUAGUAGUCC
RNAcentral lists this ribosomal RNA (798 nucleotides) under uncultured bacterium. Its description in RNAcentral is "bacterial SSU rRNA". It matches the Rfam family "Bacterial small subunit ribosomal RNA", at positions 8 to 796 of the family's 1533-position model. The record is from RNAcentral.